RNAcentral lists this ribosomal RNA (1609 nucleotides) under Epizoanthus illoricatus. Its description in RNAcentral is "eukaryotic LSU rRNA". It matches the Rfam family "Eukaryotic large subunit ribosomal RNA", at positions 66 to 1485 of the family's 3401-position model. The record is from RNAcentral. Lineage: Eukaryota; Metazoa; Cnidaria; Anthozoa; Zoantharia; Epizoanthidae.
UAACAAGGAUUCCCCCAGUAACGGCGAGUGAAGCGGGAACAGCUCAAAUUUGAAAUCUCCGUUGCUUGCAACGGCGAAUUGUAGUUUCGAGAAACACUUUCUAGGCGGAAUCGGCUCUGUCUAAGUUGCUUGGAACAGCACGUCAUAGAGGGUGACAACCCCGUCUGUGACGGAGCCGACCGCUCAUCGAUGUGUUUUCGAAGAGUCGGGUUGUUUGGGAAUGCAGCCCAAAAUGGGUGGUAAACUCCAUCUAAAGCUAAAUAUAGGCACGAGACCGAUAGCGAACAAGUACCGUGAGGGAAAGAUGAAAAGAACUUUGAAAAGAGAGUUAAAAAGUACGUGAAACCGUUAAAAGGGAAACGAAUGGAGUUAGCAAUGCACUCUGUAAGAUUCAGCCGGCUGGUGGCUCGGACGGGCAGUUUGCGGAUCUGAAUGGACUGCUGCUGUUCGGCUCGUGCUCCCGACCGUCGCACUUCUUGCGGGUGCGCGUCAACAUCGGUUCGGACUGGGUUUUAAAGRCGUAGGGAAGGUAGGUCGAACGUCUCGGCGCUCUUCUAUUAUAGCCCUUCGUUUUAUGGCUCGGUCCGGACCGAGGAGCCGCAGCGCAUGCCUCUUCUGGCUAGUUUUCUGUAGCGCCGGUCGGUUGUCGAUCGUGGUGGACUGCUUGCAGUGCGCCCAAACUGCUGCCGGUCGCCGUUGCGGUAACUUCAUACCAUGCGCUCAGGAUGUUGGCGGUCAUAUGGCUUCAUCCGACCCGUCUUGAAACACGGACCAAGGAGUCUAACAUGUGCGCGAGUCUUAGGGUGAUUGAAACCCCAAGGCAGAAUGAAAGUGAAGGCAGCCUAGCUGCUGAGGUGAGAACCUCUCCUCCGGGAGUGGCGCAUCAUUGACCGAUCUAUUCUACUCUUAGGAAGAUUUGAGUAAGAGCGCAUCUGUUGGGACCCGAAAGAUGGUGAACUAUGCCUGAAUAGGGUGAGGCCAGAGGAAACUCUGGUGGAGGCUCGUAGCGAUUCUGACGUGCAAAUCGAUCGUCAAAUUUGGGUAUAGGGGCGAAAGACUAAUCGAACUGUCUAGUAGCUGGUUCCCUCCGAAGUUUCCCUCAGGAUAGCUGGAACUCAUAGCAGUUUUAUCAGGUAAAGCGAAUGAUUAGAGGUCUUAGGGUUAAAACAACCUUAACCUAUUCUCAAACUUUAAAUUGGUAAGAAGUCCGACUUGCUUAAUUGAAGCCGGACAGUGAAUGCGAGUUCCUAGUGGGCCAUUUUUGGUAAGCAGAACUGGCGAUGCGGGAUGAACCGAACGCUGAGUUAAGGUGCCUAAGUCGACGCUCAUCAGACCCCACAAAAGGUGUUGGUUGCUAUAGACAGCAGGACGGUGGCCAUGGAAGUCGGAAUCCGCUAAGGAGUGUGUAACAACUCACCUGCCGAAGCAACUAGCCCUGAAAAUGGAUGGCGCUCAAGCGUCGCACCUAUACUCGGCCGUCAGAGUAAAUGCGAAGCUCUGACGAGUAGGAGGGCGUGGUGGUCGUGACGCAGCCUCUGGCGCGAGCCUGGGUGAAACGGCCUCCAGUGCAGAUCUUGGUGGUAGUAGCAAAUAUUCAAAUGAGAGCUUU